CGGAGGGUGCAAGCGUUAUCCGGAUUCACUGGGUUUAAAGGGUGCGUAGGUGGAUUGGUAAGUCAGUGGUGAAAUCUCCGGGCUUAACUCGGAAACUGCCAUUGAUACUAUCAGUCUUGAAUACCGUGGAGGCCAGUAGAAUAUGUCAUGUAGCGGUGAAAUGCUUAGAUAUGACAUAGAAUACCAAUUGCGAAGGCAGCUGGCUACGCGAAUAUUGACACUCAGGCACGAAAGCGUGGGGAUCAAACAGGAUUAGAUACCCUGGUAGUCCACGCCCUAAACUAUGGAUACUCGACAUACGCGAUACACUGUGUGUGUCUGAGCGAACGCAUUAAGUAUCCCACCUGGGAAGUACGAUCGCAAGAUUG
RNAcentral lists this ribosomal RNA (368 nucleotides) under uncultured organism. RNAcentral's name for it is "bacterial SSU rRNA". It matches the Rfam family "Bacterial small subunit ribosomal RNA", at positions 526 to 896 of the family's 1533-position model. The record is from RNAcentral.